RNAcentral lists this long non-coding RNA (206 nucleotides) under Pelobates cultripes (western spadefoot toad). Lineage: Eukaryota; Metazoa; Chordata; Amphibia; Anura; Pelobatidae. The record is from RNAcentral.
UAGGCUGCCGCUGGAGAGAGGGUGUAACAAGCUCCUCUCUCUGAACUGUAGACUGCCGCUGGGGAGAGGGGGUAACCUGCUCCUCUCCCUGACACUCUCUUUGCUGGUGGAGAGGGGGAUCAACUGUCUCCCCUUUCAAUAUUUUGUCCUGCGGCUGGGGUGCGAGACAGACGGUCUCUGCUUCCUGGGGUACACACUGCCGCUGG